RNAcentral lists this ribosomal RNA (253 nucleotides) under uncultured bacterium. Its description in RNAcentral is "partial 16S ribosomal RNA". It matches the Rfam family "Bacterial small subunit ribosomal RNA", at positions 524 to 776 of the family's 1533-position model. The record is from RNAcentral.
UACGAAGGGGGCUAGCGUUGCUCGGAAUUACUGGGCGUAAAGCGCACGUAGGCGGCUUUCUAAGUCGGGGGUGAAAUCCUGGAGCUCAACUCCAGAACUGCCUUCGAUACUGGAGAGCUUGAGUCCGGGAGAGGUGAGUGGAACUGUGAGUGUAGAGGUGAAAUUCGUAGAUAUUCGCAAGAACACCAGUGGCGAAGGCGGCUCACUGGCCCGGUACUGACGCUGAGGUGCGAAAGCGUGGGGAGCAAACAGG